Molecule: long non-coding RNA, 1184 nt
Organism: Melanotaenia boesemani (Boeseman's rainbowfish)
Lineage: Eukaryota; Metazoa; Chordata; Actinopteri; Atheriniformes; Melanotaeniidae
Exons: 3
Source: RefSeq, a predicted model, not a curated record
UUGCUGAGAUGGUGAACAAGAUCCUUGCUUAUCUUGACCCCCCAAACAAGAUGUUGCAGUCUGAAGACAUGGACCUGCUGACAGGUUUGCAGCUCAUCAGGAGUGCAUGCUCCUGUCUUGAGAAGAUCCGCACUGAGACAGAAUUCCAGGCAAUCCUGACCCAGUGUGUCACAACAAGGCCAUCAAAGAGAUGAUGCACACAGAACUCUGCCCUUGCUGACUAUGUGGUUGAGAAAAUCAGCACACAUGCAGACUGCAAUGAUGAAACAGAGCUACGUAGGAUUUAUUACAGCUGCAUUGACUUAGUAUGUGGGGAAAUGAAAAAUCGCUUCGGGAAACAUAAUCAUGACCUGAUGGAGGCACUCAAUGCCCUGUAUCCUGUACAAGCCACAUUCUUGGAUGUGACCAAGGUGAAGCCUUUACUUGACCUGACCAAGACAGCUGCUGUGGAUUCUGAAUUCGAGGUGGCUCACAACUUCCUUGAGAAACAAAAGAUUCUUCUCCACCAGAUGAGGGGAAGUGGACAAUGAAACAGAUUCUGAAACAGUUCCAGAGGCCCCUGGAAGCAAUGCCCACUGUAUUCACUGCAUUUAAAAUUGGACUGACUUUUGGAGCCAGCACCGCAUUCUGUGAAAAUUCAUUUUCCACUCUUAAAAAUGUCUUCACAGAGCAUCGCCUAACUAUGCUUCAUCAGCGCAAGGCCAAUCUCACCCAGUUGGCAUUUGAGAAGGACUUGACUCGGAAAUUUAGGAACGAGUGGAAGGACAGGGGUUUAAGAAGGUUUCACACAGUCGUCAAACGCCGCCUGCCACUCUAUUGAAAGUGGUUAAAUCUUUGCUCCAUCCUUUCUCACACACACCUCACAGAUACUCCAGUGAUACUCCUGGUCAAUUUACUUUGCAUUACUUGCAGGCAGAAGGGUCAUGCUGCUUAGUUCUGCUCCUUGUGCUCCCUAGCUGCCGUAGCUACCUUCCCCAGCUUGAAUGUUUGAUCCAGUGUUCAGAUUUGACAUCAGUGCUUUUUUUUAAAAGAGAAGUGAAGCUGUAUGGUGCUGCUCUCUGUAUGACCCAGCCCCUGUUGCUGUUCCUGAGUUUUGAGUUAAUUAAAUGGGCCCAGCACUACAUUAUGGUAUUUUGUUUGUUUAUAUAUAUGUAUAUUUUAGGAUGAACUUUCCUUUUUCUAGU